Schizosaccharomyces pombe (fission yeast) is the source of this 896-nucleotide non-coding RNA. The record is from the annotation of a GenBank genome assembly. NCBI's taxonomy places the organism in Eukaryota, Fungi, Ascomycota, Schizosaccharomycetes, Schizosaccharomycetales, Schizosaccharomycetaceae.
CAAACCUGCUUGAAUUUCGACAAAUGAAUCAACAGAAUUCUCCAUUAUCUUCGCCAAAUCAAAAGCAAAAUUUUUAGCCUUAGACACAAGUGAAAUUAACUCCAAAACUUUUACUCGUAAUGACCCGAGAGUCGCUAAAUCCACAUCCAUUGGAAGUUCAUCAAGUUUUAUCAAGCUGACAGCUUUGCCAUUUGAGUCUGAAUUAGAUUGCUCCUCAAGGGAUUUUAAGCAGAAUCUUGAACAUUGAUUGAUCGAUCCAAUACGAUCAGCAACAGAGAAAGAUUGCACAAGUGUUAAGCAGAAGUCAUGUAUAGCAACAACAUUCGUAGAUUUGGCCAGCAACAUUUUUUCAGCAAACUGUAUUAAAACAACGGAUAAAAAUCUAUUUGAUCCAAUUGUCUGCAAAACUAAACGAUAAAGUCGAAGUCGGCGAUGUUGAGGGAUGUGAGGGAACGCAUUCACAAAACAUGAUACCAGCAAGGAAGAGUCAAAAUCCUUACCUAAUCUUAUUAGUGCAGAUAUAACAGUUUUGACAGUCUGUUCAAUGACAUGGAUGGAAAAUGCAUCGUCUCUUGAUAAGACAGUACUACCCAUAAAAGUAAAUAUCGGCAUAACACCAUGUAAAACAGCUUCAGGAGCAGCAUUCGCUAGAGCACUAACAAGUAACAAUGCCUUAUUUUGAAUCUGUGGAUUAUUGGUAGAACGAAUACAACCCACUAAGGUAUCGAUUCUAAUGGAGGGUGACAGUUCAGUAAUCGGUGAGGCUCCUAUCAUCUCAUAUAACAAUCCUAGAAGUAGCUGAAGCAAAUAAUUUGAUGAAACAAUAUCCUCUUUCAAAGCGAUAACGCUAUUGAGAACUUCGAAUAAUGGAGAAGCCAACUUUGGAUAUGAAGCAG